UACAGAGGUCCCAAGCGUUGUUCGGAUUCAUUGGGCGUAAAGGGUGCGUAGGCGGCGGGGUAAGUCAGGUGUGAAAUCCCGGAGCUUAACUCCGAAACUGCAUUCGAUACUGGCGUGCUUGAGGACUGGAGAGGAGACUGGAAUUCAUGGUGUAGCAGUGAAAUGCGUAGAGAUCAUGAGGAAGACCAGUGGCGAAGGCGGGUCUCUGGACAGUUCCUGACACUGAGACACGAAGGCCAGGGGAGCAAACGGG
RNAcentral lists this ribosomal RNA (253 nucleotides) under uncultured bacterium. RNAcentral describes it as "partial 16S ribosomal RNA". It matches the Rfam family "Bacterial small subunit ribosomal RNA", at positions 524 to 776 of the family's 1533-position model. The record is from RNAcentral.